RNAcentral lists this ribosomal RNA (253 nucleotides) under uncultured bacterium. RNAcentral describes it as "partial 16S ribosomal RNA". It matches the Rfam family "Bacterial small subunit ribosomal RNA", at positions 524 to 776 of the family's 1533-position model. The record is from RNAcentral.
UACGAAGGGGGCUAGCGUUGCUCGGAAUCACUGGGCGUAAAGCGCACGUAGGCGGCUUUUUAAGUCAGGGGUGAAAUCCUGGAGCUCAACUCCAGAACUGCCUUUGAUACUGAGAAGCUUGAGUCCGGGAGAGGUGAGUGGAACUGCGAGUGUAGAGGUGAAAUUCGUAGAUAUUCGGAAGAACACCAGUGGCGAAGGCGGCUCACUGGCCCGGUACUGACGCUGAGGUGCGAAAGCGUGGGGAGCAAACAGG